CCCUUAGAUGUUCUGGGCCGCACGCGCGCUACACUGACGAAGUCAGCGAGCAUGUCCUACGCCGACAGGUGCGGGGAAUCUUGUCAAACUUCGUCGUGAUGGGGAUUGAUUAUUGAAAUUCUUGAUCAUCAACGAGGAAUUCCUUGUAAGCGCAAGUCAGCAGCUUGCGUUGAUUACGUCCCUGCCCUUUGUACACACCGCCCGUCGCUACUACCGAUUGAAUGGUUUAGUGAGAUCUUCGGAUUGGCGCCACUGCGGCUCAGCAAUGGGCUCGGUGGAUGCCGAAAAGUUGAUCAAACUUGAUCAUUUAGAGGAAGUAAAAGUCGUAACA
Molecule: ribosomal RNA, 331 nt
Filed under: uncultured eukaryote
Lineage: Eukaryota
Description: partial 18S ribosomal RNA
Rfam family: Eukaryotic small subunit ribosomal RNA
Source: RNAcentral